Oncorhynchus kisutch (coho salmon) is the source of this 5371-nucleotide RNA transcript. It is a transcript of the gene named tpd52 like 1, with no coding region annotated. The transcript is spliced from 6 exons. The record is from RefSeq and is a predicted model, not a curated record. Lineage: Eukaryota; Metazoa; Chordata; Actinopteri; Salmoniformes; Salmonidae.
AGCACACCGCCAUUGGUGUAUGUUGGAAGCCCCGCCAAUGGAGGCGGUGCCGUAAUUGACAGUGAAGGAACUGGCGUAAACAUUGGCGUCUGACAGUGCAGCAGUUGAGCUGCUGUAUCUACGUUAAAGCGUUGUUUCAGAAGAACAAUUCAUAUUUACUUCAAGUAGCCAACUGCAUCACACUGCUUCGAAUGGAGACCAGACAACAGGAGAGAGGACAAGGACAUCUCAGGACAGGUUUGCUGGACCCAGAGCCUCUAACAGAAGUAGAUGAAGAAAUGGUGUCAGAAGUGGACCUCUACAACACUGUGACCGAUGAGGAGAGGGAGGAAAUAUUGAGUGAACUCACUAAGUUAGAGGAAGAAAUCUCCACCCUGAGACAAGUGUUGGCCUCCAAAGAGAAGCACCACUCAGACCUCAAAGCCAAACUGGGGAUAACACCACUCAGUGAGCUCAAACAGAACUUCAACAGGAGCUGGUAUGACAUGCAGACUUCCACUGCGUACAAAAAGACGUCUGAGACGUUGAGCACGGCAGGGCAGAAAACGUCAGCAGCUUUCACCACAUUGGGAACAGCCAUCAGCAGGAAGUUUGGGGAUAUGAGGUACGGUGUCACUGGUGCCUAUAGCAACCACACAACAACAUCAACAUCUUUCAUAUCCAAUCAACUGAAGCCUUACACUACGACUACAUCUUUUAGCCUACAGCUAUUGAGACAGAAUACAAGGUGGCCUCCAGUCAGAAUGACCACCCUCCUCCCUCAUCUCCACUUUUCUGCAGCCAGUCUGUCGUGUGCCCAAUCCUAAUUGUUGCUGGGGUUGACCCAGACAGUCUGUUGCAGGGGGCAUGUUUGUGUUGCAUAAGCCCAGAGUAAGCAGCUUUCUGCAGGCCAGAUUGGAUGCGGGCCUGGGGUGGAGUGGGGAGGGGGGUCAGUAACCCUCUGGGUGUCUGCUGACCACUCUCUGCCUUGAAGACCCAGAGUUCUGACUGGGCAGGGUGGCACAAUGGAGAUCCAUUGCUGGCCUGUAUGCUUGCUUUGCAGGGGCACACACAGCCACUGGGGAGCUAUCAUAUCAUAGACAGCUGGCCCCGGGUUCACUAGUAAUACAAUACUCAGACUAGCCAUGACAAAGAAAAACUGUGAUUUACUGUUAUGCCUGUCCAUGUCAUUUAGUGUGUGUUGUAGACGUGUCAGAGUCUUUGUCUUCGUCAUCAUUAUUGCAUGAUAAUAACAAAAGACUCACCACCGCAGGUUUAUAAUAGUGUAUUAACCAACCAACGUUAUGUAUAAAAUCACGUUGAACAAUGAUCCAGAGAGACAAAUAGAUAUUCCUUUGUGUAUUGCAGCAUGUUUGGCCUUGAGUUAAUGUAUCCCAGAAGGUAUGCCACCUAGUGUGCAUGUGUGUGUGCAUGCAAAUGAGUUUGUCCCUGUGUGGACUAUUCGUGUGAAUUGAAAAUACAGUAGAACACGUUAUUUUCAUGAACCGUGUUCACUAUGUUGCCCAGUGAAAUACAAAAAUAAAAAAGGGGUGCCCUGGCUGACUUGCAUUGGUUGAAAUAUGCUAAACCAAACAUUUAGCUAUGAGGAACCAUGGAGAGCAAGGUACAGUAUGUUGCCUGGGGGUGAAGUUUGCUGUGGGCUUUACUUGGGUGACUCCCUUACACUUACAGACUGCAGGUUGUUUGCAUUAUAAUGCAUAGUGUAUACAGUACUGUAAGGAUACAGUAUAUACAGUAUAUGGCAUGAUAACCAGAGCUUUGAUGAUUUAAUGAUUGGUUAACUGUGUGUUUGAAGUGUGUUCCCGCGCUGGAUCUUUGAAUUUGGCUUUUCUUGAAUAGAAGUUCGAUUAAACUCUGUCAUGAUUCCAAAAUUAAGUAGCCUAAUGUAAAGUGUUGGUAGGACACUCGAUAAUGUCAGGACAAAUGUCUUAAAUGUCUCUUUGUUUCUUCAUCCUUUUCUAUGCAUCCAAAGAUCAAAUUCACUUGGGUAAGAAAUUGUGUUUUAGUGUUAUUGGUUGUAUUAUACCUCUGAUUUAGAGUCAGAUAUGCGUGACUGCAGUGAAACUAGUCAGAAGACGGACAAAGGCCAUUGUUUACGUAAAUAUGAGUGGGAUUUAAGAUAUAAUGGUAAGAUGACUACCAACUGAAUGGGAUCAAUUCCAGGGAUCCCUUGAUUUGAUUUAGUCAGACACACAGUUAGUUCCAGUGCAGUCACAUCAUAACCUAGUGUGAAUGUGUAUACACGCAAACCUCAUAGUGAACUCCUCAGAUCUGUAGCACACUGACCAGUAGGCAUGCAUGACUUUGACUGUUGUUGACCAUAGCAUGUUUUACUUGUGGGCGGUUCAGUAUAGUUAGUUUUUAGAUAAUUUGUCUUUCUCUUUUGUACCUUCUGUGGAUGUAGCAUUGCUAGUUCUCUGUAGAAGAUGUUAGUCAUAUACACAUGAAUGAGUCAUCGAUACGAUAUGACAGUUGUCUAAGAACAUAUAUCAUAUUACAAUAAGCCAUUAGAUUCCUCUAAAAUAUCUAUCUAUUUUUUUUUAAGGCAAUCAGAUGAUGGGUAAAUCUACAUUAUAGAAAUGCCUAGAAAGUUGCCCUGCUGAAUUACUGUAGACUUAGAGGGAGUGCUUGCUGUGUGUGUGUGAUUGCGUGUGUGAUUUCUGCUGUCUGUAAAUUCAUGUUAAUGAUUUAACUCCUCUCUUACCUGGGCCAUGCUCUCUUGGGACAGCUACUCUAUCCGCCACUCAAUGAGCAUGCCCGUUAUGAGGUAAUUGUGUGUAGCCUACUUUGUGUGUAGUGAUAGACUUAACCCUCCACUAGAUCCCAGUCCUUAGCCACCCACCCAUUCUCGUUGUCUUAAGGCUGAGCGUUUGUAAGCAUUGUGAGUAGAAUUGGUAUUGGUUCAGAAUUUAUAGGUGAAACAGGCUUGCAUUGUAACAUUGGCAUAUCCUGCUGCAAUCAUCAGGAGAAGAUUCAUCCAUUUCUAGCUAUCUGACCUGUUUAUCCAAAGAUAAACGUGUGGAAUCGUAACACUAGAAAAAGUGACCUUUCUAUAACACUGAUGAGCAUACAGGACUUCUCCCAGUGUUUUGUUAACAGAGCACUGUAAGUAACGGUAGCUUUAGCAGAGCACUGUAAAUACAGACCGCUUUAGCAGAGCACUGUAAGUAACGGUAGCUUUAGCAGAGCACUGUAAAUACAGACUGCUUUAGCAGAGCACUGUAAAUACAGACCGCUUUAGCAGAACACUGUAAAUACAGACCGCUUUAAUAGAGCACUGUAAAUACAGACCGCUUUAGCAGAGCACUGAAAAUACAGACCGCUUUAGCAGAGCACUGUAAAUACAGACCGCUUUAAUAGAGCACUGUAAAUACAGACCGCUUUAGCAGAGCACUGUAAAUACAGACCGCUUUAGCAGAGCACUGUAAAUACAGACCGCUUUAGCAGAGCACUGUAAAUACAGACCGCUUUAGCAGAGCACUGUAAAUACAGACCGCUUUAGCAGAGCACUGUAAAUACAGACCGCUUUAGCAGAGCACUGUAAAUACAGACCGCUUUAGCAGAGCACUGUAAAUACAGACCGCUUUAGCAGAGCACUGUAAAUACAGACCGCUUUAGCAGAGCACUGUAAAUACAGACCGCUUUAGCAGAGCACUGUAAAUACAGACCGCUUUAGCAGAGCACUGUAAAUACAGACCGCUUUAGCAGAGCACUGUAAAUACAGACCGCUUUAGCAGAGCACUGUAAAUACAGACCGCUUUAGCAGAGCACUGUAAAUACAGACCGCUUUAGCAGAGCACUGUAAAUACAGACCGCUUUAGCAGAGCACUUGUAAAUACAGACCGCUUUAGCAGAGCACUUGUAAAUACAGACCGCUUUAGCAGAGCACUUGUAAAUACAGGAAGCUUUAAUAAGUGUACACAAAAGUACAGGUACAGUAUGGUGGCUCAGAUAGAUAUAAACAUACAUGUUGUAUACUAAAGUAAUAGUAUUGUAUGAAACUGAACUGCUUUUCAUCCCAUUAGGAACUCUCCCAGUUUCAAGUCCUUUGAGGAGAAGGUUGAAAGCACCGUUUCCAACAUAAAGACCAAGGUAGGAAGCCAAGGAGGUGGAGGGAGUUUUGAGGAGGUGUUGUCUUCAGCCGCCCACGCCAGUGCCCAAGAAACCCCCAGCAACAACCUGUCUGAGAGCAGUGAUCAUGAGCGGACCUGCUAGACCAGAGCCUGAAACAACCUCCCCAGACCAGGAUUAGCACUCUACUGCCCCUCACUGGCCCAGAGGCCACAUUACAUUACCUGAUGAGGAGAGCAUGACAAACAGUAGGCCUAUCUAUCCAAAGCCACAUCAAGUACCAACACAAAUGUGUAUUAUCUAAUGGCUUCUUAGCCUUUGUUUCCAAUCUGUAAAGCACUCCUGCCCUUGAUAUUUUAUUACUAUGAAUACAGCUAUUACCUUUUUGUAUUUUAAUAAAAAAUAAAUGUGUUCCGUUUAUAUCAAUGUAUUUGAUAAACAAAAAGUAGUGACUUUCUUCCCAGUACUAAAACAACAUUUUCAUGAUGACACCUACUUUCCAAGAGUGGACAGUCACAUAAAACUAUUGGGGGAGGGAAUUAUAUUUGAAACUAAUACUUGAAAUUGCAAGUACUGGAUUUGUAGGCCUAUACUGCACUGUAAAUGGGGACCAAAGUAAGGCCUCGUGCUGAAAAUCUACUGAAUACACUGUCAUCCCGAUGAAUCACACUAAUAUCUCCUUUAUUCCAACCGUGCACUGUUUGCACUUGAGCCUUGAUGGGGUCUCCUAAAUCCGGACCUAAAUUAUACUUAUUAUCACAGCAGUCAGGCAGUGUAGAUGCUUUGACACACUGUGGGAUUAAAUGUCUAUUUUUAAAUAUGGUUAUUUCUUCUGUUUAUUACUGCUAAUCUUCAAUAAUGGACCAAACAGCUGGUUUUCUAUUUACAGAAUGAACUUCUGUCAUGUGAUUUUCUCCUUGUGUUUAUUGUUCAAGUUGAUUUUUAUUGGUUGCUGUGGUUUUUAACUUAAUUGUGACUAGACGUUUGUCAGACAUUUAGGUGAUAAUGUUUUCAGACAUUUUGACUACGUUUUGUCAACAGCAGUCCCUGUGCAGUCCUGUGUAGCCCGGUAGGUAGAGCAUGGCGGUUGCAAUGCCAGGGUUGUGGGUUCGAUUCUCACGGGGGACUAGUAUGGGGGGGAAAGUAUGAAAAUGUAUGCAUUCACUACUGUAAGUAUGACUUAAAUGUACUCUAGCAACUUCUGCUUUUUUUUUAAACAAAACUGUAUCCCAGUAAGAUAACACACUAUGAAUAAACUGUUUUUUGCAGUAUGACUAUUAAACAAUUUGUUGCAAACCAA